GCCCGGUGGCGUGAUUAAAGAUAAACGACAUCUGUGAGACGGCCCGGUCUCGCAUCUCCCACGGAGGAGUGGAAGCAUAAAGGAGGAGCAACCAACCACAGUGCGGAGGGAGAGAGGAACAGAACCAUAUGGAGAAACAGCCUGUGAGAGCCGGCGCAUUGCCAGAGUCUUGCCCUGAUGGACCCGCUCUCAGCUGGAAUCCAGUUUUGAGCACACUGUGAAGCCACAGCCAGAUCUUCUACCUCCCUGCUAAAGGAGGCCCUGACAUUCACAGGAGACAGCCCAUCAAACAGCCUGUUGAUAAUUGUCCGCGAAGACCCAGAUCACCCGAGUCACGCUCACAUGAAGUUGCUCGCGGACAGGCCUGUAACCCUGAGAGCUGGUCUUCAUCAACAAACUUUGAUGGGAGAGAGAUGACAUGAAGAAUACAUCAUACAGAUUUGCAACAACAUGAUGGCAGGAGCAAAUGAGUAUGAUUGGCACACUGGUGUGUGUCUGCAUUCGUAUUGUGCCAUUUUUGAUGCCCUGCUGGUCAUUUCCAGAGCCAAGUCCAUGCGUGCCAUCACAGUACCCUACGGAAUCUACUCGACAUAUGUCCCUUUGGCGGCUGGGUACACAACUGUCCACCCAACUUGCGCCUGCACCCCGGCAGCUGAGCCACACUUCCCCGGGUCAGAGAAGAUGGAGGUAGAAGACAAAAAUAGAAAGAGCUGGGCCAUCAAUCAGUUCACAAGUCAGACAAAUAGACAAAAUUUCAUAAACGAGGCCCUUUAUUGACGGCUGGUCUCAUAACGUUUAUCCGAAAUCCAUUUUGCCUGACCGUUAUGUGAGCAUUAGGGAUCAUUGAGCAUCACCUUAGCCAUGCGUGAAGAUUCAUGCCAGGAGUUUCAUCUGCAGCAGACGUCAAAAUCAAUAGCCAAUGUCAGCGGCACCACAGUGUCUUGCUUCGUGACUCGCCUCUGCCUCAGAUUCUGACUUAAGUCUUUUAUGUCAUAACGGGAUGGGCUGUAGAUGGCAGUUUGUAGCAUUAAGGAACAAAAACUGCAAAAACACGCUUGCACUUCUUUUACAGAAGUGCAAUUCCAGCACCGAUAUCAUGAAUCUGAAUAAGUGGUUUUGACAGUGUAAUCCAUUUAAAAAGCUGGACACCGAGGACAUGCUGAGAGAUGUAUCCACUGUGAAUGAAAGCGUAGCUCAGAUGUUAUUUAAUCACAGUUCUGGGGUCUGAAUUGAGUUGGGAGGAGCAGGCGAGAAUUUUGAUGACAAGCAUGAAAACAGACUGUUAAAGUAAA
Molecule: non-coding RNA, 1292 nt
Organism: Pimephales promelas (fathead minnow)
Lineage: Eukaryota; Metazoa; Chordata; Actinopteri; Cypriniformes; Leuciscidae
Source: RefSeq, a predicted model, not a curated record